GGGGAGAGUGUGUAAAUCGAGA
RNAcentral lists this non-coding RNA (22 nucleotides) under Arabidopsis thaliana (thale cress). Lineage: Eukaryota; Viridiplantae; Streptophyta; Magnoliopsida; Brassicales; Brassicaceae. The record is from RNAcentral.